This 447-nucleotide ribosomal RNA is filed under the name uncultured bacterium. RNAcentral's name for it is "bacterial SSU rRNA". It matches the Rfam family "Bacterial small subunit ribosomal RNA", at positions 355 to 825 of the family's 1533-position model. The record is from RNAcentral.
UCGGGAAUUUUGGGCAAUGGGCGAAAGCCUGACCCAGCAACGCCGCGCGAAGGAUGAAGUAUUUCGGUAUGUAAACUUCGAAAGAAUAGGAAGAAUAAAUGACGGUACUAUUUAUAAGGUCCGGCUAACUACGUGCCAGCAGCCGCGGUAAUACGUAGGGACCAAGCGUUGUUCGGAUUUACUGGGCGUAAAGGGCGCGUAGGCGGCAAUUCAAGUCAUCUGUGAAAUCUCCGGGCUUAACUCGGAACGGUCAGAUGAUACUGCUUUGCUAGAGUGCAGAAGGGGCAAUCGGAAUUCUUGGUGUAGCGGUGAAAUGCGUAGAUAUCAAGAGGAACACCUGAGGUGAAGACGGGUUGCUGGGCUGACACUGACGCUGAGGCGCGAAAGCCAGGGGAGCAAACGGGAUUAGAUACCCUUGUAGUCCCUGAGCGGGCUGGCAAGGCGCAU